Molecule: transfer RNA, 87 nt
Filed under: Olavius sp. associated proteobacterium Delta 1
Lineage: Bacteria; Deltaproteobacteria
Also listed under: 3 other names
Description: tRNA-Leu-GAG
Rfam family: tRNA
About the family: Transfer RNA (tRNA) molecules are approximately 80 nucleotides in length. Their secondary structure includes four short double-helical elements and three loops (D, anti-codon, and T loops).
Source: RNAcentral
GCCGAAGUGGUGGAAUUUGGUAGACACGCUAUCUUGAGGGGGUAGUGGCUUACGGCCGUGCCGGUUCAAGUCCGGCCUUCGGCACCA